UAAAAGUUGAAGUGUAGUGAGCGUAAUGUAAGGAGCCUUGUGUUUUGGGGUCUAUUUUAAAAUUAUAAAACAUAUCAGUAUUUUUUAACUUAAUUGUAUUUAUUUCCAUGAAGCAAUACUAAUGCAAUUGUAUUUGUAUUUUUGGCAUUUUGUACUCCAAUCAUAUGAUGUAAAGUAUCCAAUAAAACACACAGGUUAAGCUCCUCCUCUUCCACAAACUACAGUAUAUUAACUCCAGAAGUACCAGAAAGCUUUUAGAAGACCAGCAUUUACACUUCUCCACCCUAAAAAAGCAUAUACUGAGAUUUUUCGUCUUCCACUCUCUGCCAAACUGGAAAAACCCGAAGCAGCACCCUGAUCUGAGAUGUGCGCUUGGACCUCAGCUGAUCAUCACACUUGCACUCUAUCUGACAGCAGAAGCAGCGUAACAGUCUACAGCUGAAGAGAGGUUAAGCCCUGUGAGUGAGAUCCAAUUCCUACAGUUCCAGAAAUUUGAGACGUCUUUCUGAGGAGAAGAAGAUACUUCUUUCUGUCUACCAAUCAGGUCAGCCAUGAUUAACUAAAAAACAACAACAAUUUGGUAAUUGUAUAAUUAUGCAAAGGAAC
Molecule: long non-coding RNA, 606 nt
Filed under: Lepisosteus oculatus (spotted gar)
Lineage: Eukaryota; Metazoa; Chordata; Actinopteri; Semionotiformes; Lepisosteidae
Description: lncRNA (ENSLOCG00000021251.1)
Source: RNAcentral